GUGAGGAAUAUUGCGCAAUGGAGGCAACUCUGACGCAGCCAUACCGCGUGCAGGAAGAAGGCGCUACGCGUUGUAAACUGCUUUUAACCGGGAAGAAACCCCAGGACGUGUCCUGGGUUGACGGUACCGGAGGAAUAAGCACCGGCUAACUUCGUGCCAGCAGCCGCGGUAAUACGAAGGGUGCAAGCGUUAUCCGGAUUCAUUGGGUUUAAAGGGUGCGUAGGCGGAGCGUUAAGUCAGUGGUGAAAUCCUGCAGCUUAACUGUAGACUUGCCAUUGAUACUGGCGCUCUUGAGUGCGCUUGAAGUGGGCGGAAUGUGCCGUGUAGCGGUGAAAUGCUUAGAUAUGGCACAGAACACCAAUUGCGAAGGCAGCUCACUAAGGCGAUACUGACGCUGAGGCACGAAAGCGUGGGGAUCGAACAGGAUUAGAAACCCCGGUAGUCC
Molecule: ribosomal RNA, 445 nt
Filed under: uncultured bacterium
Lineage: Bacteria
Description: partial 16S ribosomal RNA
Rfam family: Bacterial small subunit ribosomal RNA
Source: RNAcentral